Hydra vulgaris (swiftwater hydra) is the source of this 725-nucleotide long non-coding RNA. RefSeq lists it as uncharacterized. NCBI's taxonomy places the organism in Eukaryota, Metazoa, Cnidaria, Hydrozoa, Anthoathecata, Hydridae. The record is from RefSeq and is a predicted model, not a curated record.
GUAAAUUCACGAGUAAAUAAAUAUACCUGAAAAGCAAGCGUAAGAGAUGAUAAAUGCAGAUGAUAGAUACAGUUUUAAAUACAGAUUUUUUUUCGUUGUCACAGGAUGAAUAUCGCAGACUAAUGUAACACAUGUAAAAAGUUGAGAAAUAGGUUAUAACCAAUAUAUCCACCAAUCAUAUUUCGUUUACCUUUAUAUAAAUAAAAGAUUUCAAAGAUGAACACAGCAAUUGAUAACAUUUACCAUAUAAAUACCAACGGUAAUUUUUUAAACGACAUAAAAAAGUUUAUUAAAUGACAGGUGCCAUACUUCAAGCUGUUAUCUUGCUCAACUUGGUUAUCUUUUCGUUAACAGCAACGAACUGCGAAUAUUUUAGAUGGAGUGGUUGCUUUGAACCUGAAGUUAGCAAAGACAAAAAGAUCAAUGAGUUUGUUGCUAAAAUAGGGGAGUUUUUUCAGUACAAAUUGCAAGGAAAAACACUGGUUGAUAAAAAGAAAAGCCCAAAAAACAGAAAAAUUAAAAUGAAAUAGUAACGAGACAAAGAAUUUAUGAAAAAUUCUUAGAACUGUUUUAACUUAUUAACUAAAAAAAACUAAAAUCAGAAAACAGAAAAAUAUCUAUAAAAAAUAGCUUGUUAUAUCUUAUAGAUGAUUUCACAUUAUGUAUGUAAAUAUUUUAAGUUUAUUAAAUAAAUUUUAAUAUUUUAUCAAGGUUAUAUAUAUCAA